Molecule: ribosomal RNA, 428 nt
Filed under: bacterium
Lineage: Bacteria
Description: partial 16S ribosomal RNA
Rfam family: Bacterial small subunit ribosomal RNA
Source: RNAcentral
UGGGGAAUCUUCCGCAAUGGACGAAAGUCUGACGGAGCAACGCCGCGUGAGUGAAGACGGCCUUCGGGUUGUAAAGCUCUGUGAUUCGGGACGAAAGGCCAUAUGUGAAUAAUAUAUGGAAAUGACGGUACCGAAAAAGCAAGCCACGGCUAACUACGUGCCAGCAGCCGCAGUAAUACGUAGGUGGCAAGCGUUGUCCGGAAUUAUUGGGCGUAAAGCGCGCGCAGGCGGUCACUUAAGUCCAUCUUAGAAGUGCGGGGCUUAACCCCGUGAUGGGAGUGAAACUGGGAGACUGGAGUAUCGGAGAGGAAAGUGGAAUUCCUAGUGUAGCGGUGAAAUGCGUAGAUAUUAGGAAGAACACCGGUGGCGAAUGCGACUUUCUGGACGAAAACUGACGCUGAGGCGCGAAAGCGUGGGGAGCAAACAGG